Parathielavia appendiculata is the source of this 99-nucleotide non-coding RNA. The record is from the annotation of a RefSeq genome assembly. Lineage: Eukaryota; Fungi; Ascomycota; Sordariomycetes; Sordariales; Chaetomiaceae.
UCUUCCGUAGUAUAGUGGUCAGUAUGUGAGCUUGUCAUCAGAGUGGGAUUACCAUUUCAGACACCGCUCGAGACCCGGGUUCAAUUCCCGGCGGGAGAG